UUAUGCCGCCUCCUGCUGAAUGGCAGCAUAUUCAAAAGAAAAACAGCAGCUAUGUGCUCAGUUGUGACUAAAAAUCUUCACUGCUUUUUCUCUCACAAGGUCCUCACACAGGUAGGGGAGGGGUAGCUGUACAGCCAGAGCUCUAGCCCAAUCAGAAAUCAGACAUCGAUCAGGUGGUGUUGUCUUGAUGGGAGGGGCUGCUCUCACUGAGGAGACAACGUGGAUCUAAAAAAUGAAUUUUUCUCUCACUUCCUGCAUAAAGCAGAUUCCGAGUAUCCAAGCAACUGGUCUGUCUCAGCUGCCUUGGCUUCUGUAAGGUGACGCGUUUUAGGCAGACAUGAAUGAAUCAAACUGCCGAAUGGUGCCAGUUUGCUAAAGCUAUUUAUGGAAUCCAGGGGGCAAAUCCCGCUAUUUAAUUUACAGAAUCCAAACUUCAGCAGAAUCGAAGCUUUUAUAUAUGGAAACUCUCCAAUCCAUCCAGCAGAGGAGC
Hyla sarda is the source of this 490-nucleotide long non-coding RNA. RefSeq lists it as uncharacterized. The transcript has 4 exons. Lineage: Eukaryota; Metazoa; Chordata; Amphibia; Anura; Hylidae. The record is from RefSeq and is a predicted model, not a curated record.